This 118-nucleotide ribosomal RNA is filed under the name Dissophora decumbens. RNAcentral describes it as "partial small subunit ribosomal RNA". It matches the Rfam family "Eukaryotic small subunit ribosomal RNA", at positions 1352 to 1491 of the family's 1831-position model. The record is from RNAcentral. Lineage: Eukaryota; Fungi; Mortierellomycota; Mortierellomycetes; Mortierellales; Mortierellaceae.
UAAAUAGUUUGGCCAACGUUUGUUGGUCAUCAACUUCUUAGAGGGACUAUUGACUAUUAGUCAAUGGAAGUUUGAGGCAAUAACAGGUCUGUGAUGCCCUUAGAUGUUCUGGGCCGCA